This 631-nucleotide ribosomal RNA is filed under the name Vishniacozyma carnescens. Its description in RNAcentral is "eukaryotic LSU rRNA". It matches the Rfam family "Eukaryotic large subunit ribosomal RNA", at positions 1 to 623 of the family's 3401-position model. The record is from RNAcentral. Lineage: Eukaryota; Fungi; Basidiomycota; Tremellomycetes; Tremellales; Bulleribasidiaceae.
CUGGCCUCAAAUCAGGUAGGGCUACCCGCUGAACUUAAGCAUAUCAAUAAGCGGAGGAAAAGAAACUAACUAGGAUUCCCUUAGUAACGGCGAGUGAACCGGGAUGAGCUCAAAUUUGAAAUCUGGCGUCUUUCAGGCGUCCGAGUUGUAAUCUAUAGAGGCGUUUUCCGCGCCGGACCGCGUCCAAGUCUCUUGGAAUAGAGUAUCAAAGAGGGUGACAAUCCCGUACUUGACGCGACAACCGGUGCUCUGUGAUACGCUCUCAAUGAGUCGAGUUGUUUGGGAAUGCAGCUCUAAAUGGGUGGUAAAUUCCAUCUAAGGCUAAAUAUUGGCGAGAGACCGAUAGCGAACAAGUACCGUGAGGGAAAGAUGAAAAGCACUUUGGAAAGAGAGUUAAACAGCACGUGAAAUUGUUAAAAGGGAAACGAUUGAAGUCAGUCGUGUGGGAAGUAUUCAGCCGUCUCUGGCGGUGUAUUUGCUUCUCACGGGUCAACAUCAGUUUGAUCCGGUAGAAAAAGGCGGGAAGAAGGUGGCACCCUCGGGUGUGUUAUAGCUUCCUGUCAUAUGUGCCGGACCAGACUGAGGAACGCAGCUUGCAGCAAUGCCGGGGUCGCCCACGUACAAGCUAGGA